AUGAACGCUGGCGGCGUGCCUAAUACAUGCAAGUCGAGCGAACGGACGAGAAGCUUGCUUCUCUGAUGUUAGCGGCGGACGGGUGAGUAACACGUGGAUACCCUACCUAUAAGACUGGGAUAACUUCGGGAAACCGGAGCUAAUACCGGAUGAUAUUUUUAACCGCAUGUUUCAAAAGUGAAAGACGGUCUUGCUGUCACUUAUAGAUGGAUCCGCGCUGCAUUAGCUAGUUGGUAAGGUAACGGCUUACCAAGGCAACGAUGCAUAGCCGACCUGAGAGGGUGAUCGGCCACACUGGAACUGAGACACGGACCAGACGCCUACGGGAGGCAGCAGUAGGGAAUCGUACGCAAUGGGCGAAAGCCUGACGGAGCAACGCCGCGUGAGUGAUGAAGGUCUUCGGAUCGUAAAACUCUGUUAUGAGGGAAGAACAGAUGUGUAAGUAACUGUGCACAUCGUGACGGUACCUAAUCAGAAAGCCACGGCUAACUACGUG
This 496-nucleotide ribosomal RNA is filed under the name uncultured bacterium. Its description in RNAcentral is "partial 16S ribosomal RNA". It matches the Rfam family "Bacterial small subunit ribosomal RNA", at positions 29 to 507 of the family's 1533-position model. The record is from RNAcentral.